GCCUACGGGACGCAGCAGUGGGGAAUAUUGCGCAAUGGGCGAAAGAAAAAAAAAGAGAAGAAGCGUGAGGGAUGAAGGUUCUCGGAUCGUAAACCUCUGUCAGAAGGGAAGAAAUUAUAUCAUGCUAAUCAGUGGUGUAUUGACGGUACCUUCAAAGGAAGCACCGGCUAACUCCGUGCCAGCAGCCGCGGUAAUACGGAGGGUGCGAGCGUUAAUCGGAAUUACUGGGCGUAAAGCGCACGUAGGCUGUAUGACAAGUCAAGGGUGAAAUGCCACGGCUCAACCGUGGAACUGCCUUUGAAACU
This 305-nucleotide ribosomal RNA is filed under the name uncultured bacterium. RNAcentral describes it as "bacterial SSU rRNA". It matches the Rfam family "Bacterial small subunit ribosomal RNA", at positions 337 to 634 of the family's 1533-position model. The record is from RNAcentral.